RNAcentral lists this ribosomal RNA (356 nucleotides) under uncultured bacterium. RNAcentral describes it as "partial 16S ribosomal RNA". It matches the Rfam family "Bacterial small subunit ribosomal RNA", at positions 338 to 686 of the family's 1533-position model. The record is from RNAcentral.
CCUACGGGUGGCAGCAGUGGGGAAUAUUGCGCAAUGGGCGAAAGCCUGACGCAGCGACGCCGCGUGAGGGAUGAAGGUCCUCGGAUCGUAAACCUCCGUCUGCAGGGAAGCAAGGUCACUGUGCUAAUCAGCAGUGAAUUGACGGUACCUGCAAAGGAAGCACCGGCUAACUCCGUGCCAGCAGCCGCGGUAAUACGGAGGGUGCGAGCGUUAAUCGGAAUUACUGGGCGUAAAGCGAUCGUAGGCGGUAUGUCAAGUCAAGGGUGAAAUCCCCGCGCUCAACGUGGGAACUGCCUUUGAAACUGGCAAACGGGAGUGUGUGAGAGGAUGGUGGAAUUCCAGGUGUAGGAGUGAAA